This is a long non-coding RNA of Phacochoerus africanus (Common warthog), 461 nucleotides long. RefSeq lists it as uncharacterized. The record is from RefSeq and is a predicted model, not a curated record. The transcript has 3 exons. Lineage: Eukaryota; Metazoa; Chordata; Mammalia; Artiodactyla; Suidae.
AGAUUCUUCUCCCACGUAGGUGGUGACGCAGUCUCAGCGGAUUUCCCUACGCCAGACGAAAUUCCAGCGAGUCCCUUGACUUUACGGAGCACCCUAUUUAAUAUGUGGAAAACGGAAGUGGCUGGUCCGGGUCCCCAGGAUCUAAUUCCCUUGCCGUUUGUAGAAUCGAUGAAUCCGUUCCUGGUCCUCAGCCGAUGGCGCAGGACCGUGACUGCCCUCAAAGGAGGAGAAGUGAUGAGAUCAGAAUUUGGUGGACUGUGUGGAAAUCGAUCUUGGUUUAAGUGUACCAGGCUGUGGCUGAUGCCCAGAGCGCUGAGCCCAUGGAUCUGGCACAGAUGAAUCAACCCUAAAGUUUAUCCUGAUUGCUCUUCCUCUAGAUUUCAUAAGACACAUGAAAAUUAAUGCUGAGUUCCAUGGCUCAGCGGUAACAAACCCAACUAGUAUCCAUGAGGAUGCGAGUU